GUAUUUAAUUGCCCACAUAAAUUUUCUAUAGUAAAGAGUGUUAAGUAUUUGACCGUUAAAUUUAAUGUAUAAUGCAGCUGUGUUUUAACUUGUAUCAUUUCCAAUUAGAAGCCGUAUAAUUUAUGUCUCUGUUUGUUUAUAUUCUGUCCCUAUAGUUGUGUGGUCUGGGGAUGAAUGACAAUUUUAUGUGUGAGAAAGUGAUGAAAGUAGUGAAGGCCUUCACGAGAAUAAAACUGGGUAAAUGUUGAGAUGCGGGAGAGUCGAGAAUAGUUAACGAGAAUGAGUGGAUGGAUCUUUAUAUAAAUGUAAAUUAAUUCAAGUGUAUAUUUUUGAACCUGUUGAUAAUAAAUUUGUAUAUAUCUGAACACAGUCUUAAAAGCCAGUGCCUUAGAACAGCUCCCGCCUCCGUGACAC
Molecule: long non-coding RNA, 414 nt
Filed under: Mytilus galloprovincialis (Mediterranean mussel)
Lineage: Eukaryota; Metazoa; Mollusca; Bivalvia; Mytilida; Mytilidae
Source: RNAcentral